RNAcentral lists this ribosomal RNA (249 nucleotides) under uncultured bacterium. Its description in RNAcentral is "partial 16S ribosomal RNA". It matches the Rfam family "Bacterial small subunit ribosomal RNA", at positions 85 to 334 of the family's 1533-position model. The record is from RNAcentral.
UGGGCGGCGACCGGCAAACGGGUGCGGAACACGUACGCAACCUACCCAAAACUGGGGAAUAGCCCGGGGAAACCCGGAUUAAUACCCCGUAACAUAUUGAGAAGGCAUCUUUUUAAUAUUAUAGCUCCGGCGGUUUUGGAUGGGCGUGCGGCUGAUUAGGUAGUUGGCGGAGUAAUAGCCCACCAAGCCUACGAUCAGUAACUGGUGUGAGAGCACGACCAGUCACACGGGCACUGAGACACGGGCCCG